Molecule: unclassified non-coding RNA, 223 nt
Filed under: Hevea brasiliensis (rubber tree)
Lineage: Eukaryota; Viridiplantae; Streptophyta; Magnoliopsida; Malpighiales; Euphorbiaceae
Source: RNAcentral
ACACCACCACAGCCCUUCCUUUACUUCCUCCUCUUUCUACAAACCCAGCUUUCCUUUCUCCCUCUCAGCAUUUCCUCGUCCCAGAACCGGGCUGGCCCAGCUCCCUGACUCCGCCAACCACACCACCACAUCCAUUAAUCCACCGGAACAGGGUGGUACCAUAGAGCUCCCACUCUUCUCUCCUUCCAUUUUUGCUACCACAGAUGACCCUUCUCCUCUCCAG